Molecule: small RNA, 50 nt
Filed under: Pluralibacter gergoviae
Lineage: Bacteria; Pseudomonadati; Pseudomonadota; Gammaproteobacteria; Enterobacterales; Enterobacteriaceae
Description: Hfq binding sRNA
Source: RNAcentral
AACCCCCAGCUAGGCUGGGGGUUCAGUAAAGCUUUCAGCUUUGAGCCAGU